Molecule: ribosomal RNA, 443 nt
Filed under: uncultured bacterium
Lineage: Bacteria
Description: bacterial SSU rRNA
Rfam family: Bacterial small subunit ribosomal RNA
Source: RNAcentral
AACGAACGCUGGCGGCAGGCCUAACACAUGCAAGUCGAACGUGAAGCCACCUUCGGGUGGUGGAAAGUGGCAGACGGGUGAGUAACGCGUGGGAACGUGCCCUUCGGUUCGGGAUAACCCAGGGAAACUUGGGCUAAUACCGGAUACGCCCUCCGGGGGAAAGAUUCAUCGCCGAAAGAUCGGCCCGCGUCGGAUUAGCUAGUUGGUGGGGUAAUUGCCUACCAAGGCGACGAUCCGUAGCUGGUCUGAGAGGAUGAUCAGCCAUACUGGGACUGAGACACGGCCCAGACUCCUACGGGAGGCAGCAGUGGGGAAUAUUGGACAAUGGGCGCAAGCCUGAUCCAGCCAUGCCGCGUGGGUGAAGAAGGCCCUAGGGUUGUAAAUCCCUUUCAGCGGGGAAGAUAAUGACGGUACCCGCAGAAGAAGCCCCGGCUAACUCCGUG